RNAcentral lists this transfer RNA (72 nucleotides) under Paenarthrobacter sp. YJN-5. It matches the Rfam family "tRNA". Rfam says of the family: Transfer RNA (tRNA) molecules are approximately 80 nucleotides in length. Their secondary structure includes four short double-helical elements and three loops (D, anti-codon, and T loops). Further hydrogen bonds mediate the characteristic L-shaped molecular structure. tRNAs have two regions of fundamental functional importance: the anti-codon, which is responsible for specific mRNA codon recognition, and the 3' end, to which the tRNAs corresponding amino acid is attached (by aminoacyl-tRNA synthetases). tRNAs cope with the degeneracy of the genetic code in two manners: having more than one tRNA (with a specific anti-codon) for a particular amino acid; and 'wobble' base-pairing, i.e. permitting non-standard base-pairing at the 3rd anti-codon position. The record is from Rfam by way of RNAcentral. Lineage: Bacteria; Bacillati; Actinomycetota; Actinomycetes; Micrococcales; Micrococcaceae.
GCCUCCAUAGCUGAGUUGGUUUAGCACUUGACUCUUAAUCAAGGGACGCAGGUUCGAACCCUGCUGGGGGCA